This 882-nucleotide ribosomal RNA is filed under the name uncultured Streptococcus sp. Its description in RNAcentral is "bacterial SSU rRNA". It matches the Rfam family "Bacterial small subunit ribosomal RNA", at positions 31 to 898 of the family's 1533-position model. The record is from RNAcentral. Lineage: Bacteria; Bacillati; Bacillota; Bacilli; Lactobacillales; Streptococcaceae.
GAACGCUGGCGGCGUGCCUAAUACAUGCAAGUAGAACGCUGAAGGAGGAGCUUGCUUCUCUGGAUGAGUUGCGAACGGGUGAGUAACGCGUAGGUAACCUGCCUGGUAGCGGGGGAUAACUAUUGGAAACGAUAGCUAAUACCGCAUAAGAGUAGAUGUUGCAUGACAUUUGCUUAAAAGGUGCAAUUGCAUCACUACCAGAUGGACCUGCGUUGUAUUAGCUAGUUGGUGGGGUAACGGCUCACCAAGGCGACGAUACAUAGCCGACCUGAGAGGGUGAUCGACCACACUGGACUGAGACACGGCCCAGACUCCAACGGGAGGCAGCAGUAGGGAAUCUUCGGCAAUGGGGGCAACCCUGACCGAGCAACGCCGCGUGAGUGAAGAAGGUUUUCGGAUCGUAAAGCUCUGUUGUAAGUCAAGAACGAGUGUGAGAGUGGAAAGUUCACACUGUGACGGUAGCUUACCAGAAAGGGACGGCUAACUACGUGCCAGCAGCCGCGGUAAUACGUAGGUCCCGAGCGUUGUCCGGAUUUAUUGGGCGUAAGGCGAGCGCAGGCGGUUUGAUAAGUCUGAAGUUAAAGGCUGUGGCUCAACCAUAGUUCGCUUUGGAAGCUGUCAAACUUGAGUGCAGAAGGGGAGAGUGGAAUUCCAUGUGUAGCGGUGAAAUGCGUAGAUAUAUGGAGGAACACCGGUGGCGAAAGCGGCUCUCUGGUCUGUAACUGACGCUGAGGCUCGAAAGCGUGGGGAGCGAACAGGAUUAGAUACCCUGGUAGUCCACGCCGUAAACGAUGAGUGCUAGGUGUUGGAUCCUUUCCGGGAUUCAGUGCCGCAGCUAACGCAUUAAGCACUCCGCCUGGGGAGUACGACCGCAAGGUUGAA